RNAcentral lists this ribosomal RNA (1343 nucleotides) under uncultured bacterium. Its description in RNAcentral is "16S ribosomal RNA". It matches the Rfam family "Bacterial small subunit ribosomal RNA", at positions 28 to 1378 of the family's 1533-position model. The record is from RNAcentral.
GACGAACGCUGGCGGCGUGCUUAACACAUGCAAGUCGAACGGAAAGGCCCUGCUUUUGUGGGGUGCUCGAGUGGCGAACGGGUGAGUAACACGUGAGUAACCUGCCCUUGACUUUGGGAUAACUUCAGGAAACUGGGGCUAAUACCGGAUAGGAGCUCCUGCUGCAUGGUGGGGGUUGGAAAGUUUCGGCGGUUGGGGAUGGACUCGCGGCUUAUCAGCUUGUUGGUGGGGUAGUGGCUUACCAAGGCUUUGACGGGUAGCCGGCCUGAGAGGGUGACCGGCCACAUUGGGACUGAGAUACGGCCCAGACUCCUACGGGAGGCAGCAGUGGGGAAUAUUGCACAAUGGGCGGAAGCCUGAUGCAGCAACGCCGCGUGCGGGAUGACGGCCUUCGGGUUGUAAACCGCUUUCGCCUGUGACGAAGCGUGAGUGACGGUAAUGGGUAAAGAAGCACCGGCUAACUACGUGCCAGUAGCCGCGGUGAUACGUAGGGUGCGAGCGUUGUCCGGAUUUAUUGGGCGUAAAGGGCUCGUAGGUGGUUGAUCGCGUCGGAAGUGUAAUCUUGGGGCUUAACCCUGAGCGUGCUUUCGAUACGGGUUGACUUGAGGAAGGUAGGGGAGAAUGGAAUUCCUGGUGGAGCGGUGGAAUGCGCAGAUAUCAGGAGGAACACCAGUGGCGAAGGCGGUUCUCUGGGCCUUUCCUGACGCUGAGGAGCGAAAGCGUGGGGAGCGAACAGGCUUAGAUACCCUGGUAGUCCACGCUGUAAACGGUGGGUACUAGGUGUGGGGUCCAUUCCACGGGUUCCGUGCCGUAGCUAACGCUUUAAGUACCCCGCCUGGGGAGUACGGCCGCAAGGCUAAAACUCAAAGGAAUUGACGGGGCCCCGCACAAGCGGCGGAGCAUGCGGAUUAAUUCGAUGCAACGCGUAGAACCUUACCUGGGUUUGACAUGGAUCGGGAGUGCUCAGAGAUGGGUGUGCCUCUUUUGGGGUCGGUUCACAGGUGGUGCAUGGCUGUCGUCAGCUCGUGUCGUGAGAUGUUGGGUUAAGUCCCGCAACGAGCGCAACCCUUGUUCACUGUUGCCAGCACGUUAUGGUGGGGACUCAGUGGAGACCGCCGGGGUCAACUCGGAGGAAGGUGGGAAUGACGUCAAGUCAUCAUGCCCCUUAUGUCCAGGGCUUCACGCAUGCUACAAUGGCUGGUACAGAGAGUGGCGAGCCUGUGAGGGUGAGCGAAUCUCGGAAAGCCGGUCUCAGUUCGGAUUGGGGUCUGCAACUCGACCUCAUGAAGUCGGAGUCGCUAGUAAUCGCAGAUCAGCAACGCUGCGGUGAAUACGUUCCCGGG